Molecule: long non-coding RNA, 550 nt
Filed under: Mytilus galloprovincialis (Mediterranean mussel)
Lineage: Eukaryota; Metazoa; Mollusca; Bivalvia; Mytilida; Mytilidae
Source: RNAcentral
CUUAUUUUUGAUAUUUUAUAAGCAGACUUGACUAUGAGAGUUAGUUUUAUUAAUCGCCAUCACAUUGCAUCUAUUAUUCAAUGUAUAUCUUAUCUUGUCUUUUUCAUCUAUAAUAAGAAAAAAGUAGGAACAAACUUCACAAUUUCUGUUCAUUGGUCCACUUCAACACAGCCCUACUCCAGGCCUAGGUCUUUGAUGAUGUCAUGAACAAAAAAAAGAUCACACCUUCAUUGCCAGUCUUCUAAAAUGAAUAGUACAGUAUCAUAUAUAUUUUUGUUCUGGUUGAUACAUGUUUGUCCUUAUUAAGAACAUUUGGCUUAAAAAUAAUUGAUAAAGAUAAUUUCUAAAAGUACUAAAUUUUUACUAACCAUGUGUAUAUGGGGUUGAUAAUUAGUAUAAAAUAGUACAUGUACUAGUAUACAAUAACCAAUACACAUGAAUGAGCUUUGUUUUGUUUGACCUACUGUUGACCUUAUGACCUUCCCUAACUAUUUUUGAAAAUAAUAUUCUUGUGCUCUGUUUUUCAAUGAUUGUAGAGAAUAUUGUGGUG